RNAcentral lists this ribosomal RNA (492 nucleotides) under uncultured bacterium. Its description in RNAcentral is "partial 16S ribosomal RNA". It matches the Rfam family "Bacterial small subunit ribosomal RNA", at positions 29 to 507 of the family's 1533-position model. The record is from RNAcentral.
AGUGAACGCUGGCGGUAGGCCUAACACAUGCAAGUCGAACGGCAGCACAGUAAGAGCUUGCUCUUACGGGUGGCGAGUGGCGGACGGGUGAGGAAUACAUCGGAAUCUACUUUUUCGUGGGGGAUAACGUAGGGAAACUUACGCUAAUACAGCAUACGACCUACGGGUGAAAGCAGGGGAUCUUCGGACCUUGCGCGAUUGAAUGAGCCGAUGUCGGAUUAGCUAGUUGGCGGGGUAAAGGCCCACCAAGGCGACGAUCCGUAGCUGGUCUGAGAGGAUGAUCAGCCACACUGGAACUGAGACACGGUCCAGACUCCUACGGGAGGCAGCAGUGGGGAAUAUUGGACAAUGGGCGCAAGCCUGAUCCAGCCAUACCGCGUGGGUGAAGAAGGCCUUCGGGUUGUAAAGCCCUUUUGUUGGGAAAGAAAAGCAGCAUGUUAAUACCCCGCUGUUCUGACGGUACCCAAAGAAUAAGCACCGGCUAACUUCGUG